RNAcentral lists this ribosomal RNA (279 nucleotides) under uncultured bacterium. Its description in RNAcentral is "partial 16S ribosomal RNA". It matches the Rfam family "Bacterial small subunit ribosomal RNA", at positions 506 to 784 of the family's 1533-position model. The record is from RNAcentral.
UGCCAGCCGCCGCGGUAAUACGGAGGGGACUAGCGUUGUUCGGAAUUACUGGGCGUAAAGCGCGCGUAGGCGGACUGAUCAGUCAGGGGUGAAAUCCCGGGGCUCAACCCCGGAACUGCCUUUGAUACUGUCAGUCUAGAAUUUAGGAGAGGCAAGUGGAAUACCGAGUGUAGAGGUGAAAUUCGUAGAUAUUCGGUGGAACACCAGUGGCGAAGGCGACUUGCUGGACUAAUAUUGACGCUGAGGUGCGAAAGCGUGGGGAGCAAACAGGAUUAGAUA